CACAUACUCCCUCCGUCCGGAAAUACCUGUCAUCAAAAUGAAUAAAAGGCAAAAAAAAUGAAUAAAAGGAGAUGUAUCUGGACAUAUUUUAGUUUGAGAUACAUCUCUUUUUAUUCAUUUUGAUGACAAGUAUUUUCGGACGGAGGGAGUACACC
Non-coding RNA from Triticum aestivum (bread wheat), 155 nucleotides. NCBI's taxonomy places the organism in Eukaryota, Viridiplantae, Streptophyta, Magnoliopsida, Poales, Poaceae. The record is from Rfam.